AAGGGCUUAGGAUACACCAGACCAAGGACCUUCAAAGCCCUAAGCAGAAGUGAAAAUCUUCUAGCCCUUG
This 70-nucleotide transfer RNA is filed under the name Rasbora caudimaculata (greater scissortail). Its description in RNAcentral is "tRNA-Trp". It matches the Rfam family "tRNA". From Rfam's summary of the family: Transfer RNA (tRNA) molecules are approximately 80 nucleotides in length. Lineage: Eukaryota; Metazoa; Chordata; Actinopteri; Cypriniformes; Danionidae. The record is from RNAcentral.